RNAcentral lists this ribosomal RNA (492 nucleotides) under uncultured bacterium. RNAcentral's name for it is "partial 16S ribosomal RNA". It matches the Rfam family "Bacterial small subunit ribosomal RNA", at positions 29 to 507 of the family's 1533-position model. The record is from RNAcentral.
AGUGAACGCUGGCGGUAGGCCUAACACAUGCCAGUCGAACGGCAGCACAGUAAGAGCUUGCUCUUACGGGUGGCGAGUGGCGGACGAGUGAGGAAUACAUCGGAAUCUACUUUUUCGUGGGGGAUAACGUAGGGAAACUUACGCUAAUACCGCAUACGACCUACGGGUGAAAGCAGGGGAUUUUCGGACCUUGCGCGAUUGAAUGAGCCGAUGUCGGAUUAGCUAGUUGGCGGGGUAAAGGCCCACCAAGGCGACGAUCCGUAGCUGGUCUGAGAGGAUGAUCAGCCACAUGGGAACUGAGACACGGCACAGACUCUUACGGGAGGCAGCAGUGGGGAAUAUUGGACAAUGGGCGCAAGCCUGAUCCAGCCAUACCGCGUGGGUGAAGAAGGACUUCGGGUUGUAAAGCCCUUUUGUUGGGAAAGAAAAGCAGCAGGUUAAUACCCCGCUGUUCUGACGGUACCCAAAGAAGAAGCUCCGGCUAACUUCGUG